CGAACGCUGGCGGCGUGCCUAACACAUGCAAGUCGUGCGAGAAAGUUCCUUCGGGAGCGAGUAAAGCGGCGCACGGUGAGUAACACGUAGGUAGCCUGCCCCCCAGUCUGGAACAACUAGAGGAAACUCUAGCUAAUGCCGGAUGAGACCACGAUCCCUUCGGGGGUUGCGGCCAAAGAUGGCCUCUACUUGUAAGCUAUCGCUGAGGGAUGGGCCUGCGGGCCAUUAGCUUGUUGGUGAGGUAACGGCUCACCAAGGCUGUGAUGGCUAGCUGGUCUGAGAGGAUGACCAGCCACACUGGGACUGAGACACGGCCCAGACUCCUACGGGAGGCAGCAGUGGGGAAUAUUGCGCAAUGGGGGAAACCCUGACGCAGCAACGCCGCGUGAGUGAGGAAGGACUUCGGUCUGUAAAGCUCUGUUAAUGUGGAAAAAUGGUUAGCGGUCUAAUAGGCCGUUGAUUUGAUGGUACACAUAGAGGAAGCACCGGCUAACUCCGUG
Molecule: ribosomal RNA, 500 nt
Filed under: uncultured bacterium
Lineage: Bacteria
Description: bacterial SSU rRNA
Rfam family: Bacterial small subunit ribosomal RNA
Source: RNAcentral